GCCCUCGUGGCCUAAUGGCUAAGGCGUCAGACUUCUAAGAAAAAGUCAUCUGAAGAUUGCAAGUUCGAGUCUUGCCGGGGGCU
This is a non-coding RNA of Whalleya microplaca, 83 nucleotides long. The record is from the annotation of a GenBank genome assembly. NCBI's taxonomy places the organism in Eukaryota, Fungi, Ascomycota, Sordariomycetes, Xylariales, Xylariaceae.